GAUGAACGCUGGCGGCGUGCCUAAUACAUGCAAGUCGAGCGAACAGACGAGGAGCUUGCUCCUCUGACGUUAGCGGCGGACGGGUGAGUAACACGUGGAGAACCUAGCUAUAAGACGGGGAUAACUUCGUGAAACCGGUGCUAAUACCGGAUAAUAUAUGGAACCGCAUGGUUCAAGAGUGAAAGACGGUUUUGCUGUCACUUAUAGAUGGAUCCGCUCCGUAUUAGCUAGUUGGUAAGGUAACGGCUUACCAAGGCAACGAUGCGUAGCCGACCUGAGAGGGUGAUCGGCCACACUGGAACUGAGACACGGUCCAGACUCCUACGGGAGGCAGCAGUAGGGAAUCUUGCGCAAUGGGCGAAAGCCUGACGGAGCAACGCCGCGUGAAUGAUGAAGGUCUUCGGAUCGUAAAACUCUGUUAUUAGGGAAGAACAAAUGUGUAAGUAACUAUGCACGUCUUGACGGUACCUAAACAGAAAGCCACGGCUAACUACGUG
This 497-nucleotide ribosomal RNA is filed under the name uncultured bacterium. RNAcentral's name for it is "partial 16S ribosomal RNA". It matches the Rfam family "Bacterial small subunit ribosomal RNA", at positions 28 to 507 of the family's 1533-position model. The record is from RNAcentral.